UACGUAGGGUGCAAGCGUUGUCCGGAAUUAUUGGGCGUAAAGAGCUCGUAGGCGGUUCGUCGCGUCGGCUGUGAAAACCUGAGGCUCAACCUCAGGCCUGCAGUCGAUACGGGCGGACUUGAGUACUGCAGGGGAGACUGGAAUUCCUGGUGAUAGCGGUGAAAUGCGCAGAUAUCAGGAGGAACACCGGUGGCGAAGGCGGGUCUCUGGGCAGUAACUGACGCUGGAGGAGCGAAAGCGUGGGGAGCGAACAGG
RNAcentral lists this ribosomal RNA (255 nucleotides) under uncultured bacterium. RNAcentral's name for it is "partial 16S ribosomal RNA". It matches the Rfam family "Bacterial small subunit ribosomal RNA", at positions 524 to 776 of the family's 1533-position model. The record is from RNAcentral.